This 1437-nucleotide ribosomal RNA is filed under the name uncultured organism. RNAcentral describes it as "SSU rRNA". It matches the Rfam family "Bacterial small subunit ribosomal RNA". The record is from RNAcentral.
AGGCUUAACACAUGCAAGUCGAGGGGCAGCAUGGUCUUAGCUUGCUAAGGCCGAUGGCGACCGGCGCACGGGUGAGUAACACGUAUCCAACCUGCCGUCUACUCUUGGACAGCCUUCUGAAAGGAAGAUUAAUACAAGAUGGCAUCAUGAGUCCGCAUGUUCACAUGAUUAAAGGUAUUCCGGUAGACGAUGGGGAUGCGUUCCAUUAGAUAGUAGGCGGGGUAACGGCCCACCUAGUCUUCGAUGGAUAGGGGUUCUGAGAGGAAGGUCCCCCACAUUGGAACUGAGACACGGUCCAAACUCCUACGGGAGGCAGCAGUGAGGAAUAUUGGUCAAUGGGCGAGAGCCUGAACCAGCCAAGUAGCGUGAAGGAUGACUGCCCUAUGGGUUGUAAACUUCUUUUAUAAAGGAAUAAAGUCGGGUAUGCAUACCCGUUUGCAUGUACUUUAUGAAUAAGGAUCGGCUAACUCCGUGCCAGCAGCCGCGGUAAUACGGAGGAUCCGAGCGUUAUCCGGAUUUAUUGGGUUUAAAGGGAGCGUAGAUGGAUGUUUAAGUCAGUUGUGAAAGUUUGCGGCUCAACCGUAAAAUUGCAGUUGAUACUGGAUAUCUUGAGUGCAGUUGAGGCAGGCGGAAUUCGUGGUGUAGCGGUGAAAUGCUUAGAUAUCACGAAGAACUCCGAUUGCGAAGGCAGCCUGCUAAGCUGCAACUGACAUUGAGGCUCGAAAGUGUGGGUAUCAAACAGGAUUAGAUACCCUGGUAGUCCACACGGUAAACGAUGAAUACUCGCUGUUUGCGAUAUACGGCAAGCGGCCAAGCGAAAGCGUUAAGUAUUCCACCUGGGGAGUACGCCGGCAACGGUGAAACUCAAAGGAAUUGACGGGGGCCCGCACAAGCGGAGGAACAUGUGGUUUAAUUCGAUGAUACGCGAGGAACCUUACCCGGGCUUAAAUUGCAGAUGAAUUACGGUGAAAGCCGUAAGCCGCAAGGCAUCUGUGAAGGUGCUGCAUGGUUGUCGUCAGCUCGUGCCGUGAGGUGUCGGCUUAAGUGCCAUAACGAGCGCAACCCUUGUUGUCAGUUACUAACAGGUUCCGCUGAGGACUCUGACAAGACUGCCAUCGUAAGAUGUGAGGAAGGUGGGGAUGACGUCAAAUCAGCGCGGCCCUUACGUCCGGGGCUACACACGUGUUACAAUGGGGGGUACAGAGGGCCGCUACCACGCGAGUGGAUGCCAAUCCCCAAAACCUCUCUCAGUUCGGACUGGAGUCUGCAACCCGACUCCACGAAGCUGGAUUCGCUAGUAAUCGCGCAUCAGCCACGGCGCGGUGAAUACGUUCCCGGGCCUUGUACACACCGCCCGUCAAGCCAUGGAAGCUGGGAGUACCUGAAGUCCGUAACCGCGAGGAUCGGCCUAGGGUAAUACCGGUAACUGGGGCUAAG